Long non-coding RNA from Pipra filicauda (Wire-tailed manakin), 2943 nucleotides. RefSeq lists it as uncharacterized. Lineage: Eukaryota; Metazoa; Chordata; Aves; Passeriformes; Pipridae. The transcript has 2 exons. The record is from RefSeq and is a predicted model, not a curated record.
GCCGCGACGGGCCGUGAGGGGCCGGGCGCGAUGGCCGCGGUGGGGUGGGCAGUUAGUCCGAGAGGCAGCGAGCGGGGUCUGGCGUGGCGGUGCUGCUGAAGCCCCUUUGUGGUCCCCUCCCCGCGGCCGGUUUGUCACAAGGAGAAUCGUGGGGAACGCAAGCGCCAAAAACGGAACUUCAGCAGAUGCCAUGAGAAUGGGCUAAAAAUGGGCUAAAAAGAACAAAAAAGCAGAGAGUGGGCUUUCUGUACCAGGCUGCAAUAGUAAAGUUUGUCUGCAUGAAGACACAAGGCUCUGGAGACACCUUUACCCUGGCUCCUGGCUCUGGAGACACCUUUAACUGCAGCUCCUGGCUCUGGAGACACCUUUAACUGCAGCUCCUGGCUCUGGAGACACCUUUACCCUGGCUCCUCGUUCUGGAGACACCUUUACCCUGGCUCCAGGCUCUGGAGACACCUUUACCCUGGCUCCUAGUUCUGGAGACACCUUUACCCCGGCUCCUGGCUCUGGAGACACCUUUACCCUGGCUCCUAGUUCUGGAGACACCUUUAACUGCAGCUCCUGGCCCUGGAGACACCUUUACCCCGGCUCCUGGCCCUGGAGACACCUUUACCCCGGCUCCUGGCUCUGGAGACACCUUUACCCUGGCUCCUAGUUCUGGAGACACCUUUACCCUGGCUCCUAGUUCUGGAGACACCUUUACCCUGGCUCCUGGCUCUGGAGACACCUUUAACUGCAGCUCCUGGCCCUGGAGACACCUUUCCCCUGGCUCCUGGCCCUGGAGACACCUUUACCCCGGCUCCUGGCUCUGGAGGCACCUUUCCCCCGGCUCCUGGCUCUGGAGACACCUUUCCCCCGGCUCCUGGCCCUGGAGACACCUUUCCCCCGGCUCCUGGCCCUGGAGACACCUUUCCCCCUGCUCCUGGCCCUGGAGACACCUUUCCCCCGGCUCCUAGCCCUGGAGACACCUUUCCCCCGGCUCCUGGCCCUGGAGACACUCCCAGCGCAGCGCUUCCCCCGCGGCCGCCCCGCGGUGCUCGGGGGACACCUGGUGGUGGCUGUGCCGCAGCGCGCCCGGCCCCGCCCCGGCCGGGCCCCGCACGCCCCUUGGCUCGCCGUGGGAAACUGCUGGUGCUGCUCGGCAAUGAAAACCCAUCCAGCACUCGGGUGUGUCUGAGUAAAGCUUUCAGUCAGCCCUAAGACUCUGUGCUGUGCAAUCCUGUCUGAGAGGAAAAGGGCAAGCAUGUACAUGGCCUUGAAUUUAAUGGAAAGAGGACAGCUCUUGUGCCUACUGCUCAUUUAGAGGUACAGCAAUAUCAUUUGCUUAUGAACUAAGCUCUGCAGAGCACGAUAUUAAAACGUAGGGAGCAUGGGCAGUAGUCUGAGUUAUCGACUCGGUUGGUUCCUGAAACCACCUGGACAGGCAGAUGUGGGAGUGUGAAUGAGACAAAUGGCUGUCCUUAUCCUUCCUGUGGUCACCUGGUCUGCUAUGAGGACUUCUCAGAUACAGUUUGCUGUGAAAGGAAGGUUCUCAGGUUUGAUUUAGUAAAUGCUUUAAUGAAAAACUCUGUUCAUCAAAACCUCAUUCUUGUCAUGUAGAACUCUGGAAUGAGGUUGCUUCUCAUACCCAUUUAGAACCAGUAUAUGUGUCACUACACUGUGCAGGGCAAUGAAGGUAUGUCCUAAAUCCCUCUAUGAUGUUCUUUAAUCUGUACAAGGGGACCUCUGACACACCACCUGCUUCUUAAACUUGAGUGUCAUAACAGCCCAGAAUUCCAAGGCAAAUGCUAAACAAAAAUUUUUUUUUGUAAUGUAGGAGAAAGAUGUUGAGUCAAGUAGUUUACAAUUAUACAAUGAGACACUUUUUCCUUCACUUCAGUUUGACUGAAGCAAAAGACAGACACUUCUUCCUUUAGAGGGAACAGAUACGAGUAGAACUAUAUGAACACAGAUUGGCUUCAAAGGGAAAUUGCUAAGUCUGAAUUAAAACAAACAGUUAUAACAGUCAUAAACUAUUAUAAAGAAUGCUUAGAAUACUUUGAAUGUUUUUUAAACAGGAGUUACCAACAAAUACGCUGGUACUAUCCAGACUUCCUGAUUUUGGUGGUGUUUAAAAUAUAACAGUUUAUUUUAGUUCUUACAUUUUAAUCCUGGUGUAUUGGCAUACCUCUUCUGGAUUAGUCAGUGAUGUUUUUCUCAGUUUCUCUUGUGUCUCUUGUUUCUCAUCUGGACUUUGAGUUUUAAAGGAAAGACAGUGUCUUAAGCAUGUGUGAACAAAUGAAUCCCUAUGAUCAAGGUGGGAUGUGAAUUUAUAACGUGGAGGUGUUUGAGGUAACUGCCAUGAAAACUGAUAAUAUGCCCCAGCUUUCAGGAAAUGCUCUCAACGUUGUUGUUUUGAAUGGGGUAACUGGGCUGCCUUUCAAGUUGUUUACUUUGUCAUAGCUGCAGCCUGUAACCCUGAUUAUUGUCUAACUUAACCUGAAGAUGUAUCCACUUGUAUAUAACCCUUUCUGUGUUCAUUGUGUCGGUGCUCAGCUCUUUCAGAAUCUUAUGUACUAUUAUUGAUAGCUGAGCACUUUAGCUGGAAUUCCCUUGGUGACUUGUCACUUGGUCCUUUGUGUUGAGUGACAAUCUUCCCAGGACAUUAUGCCUAUUCACCUACCUACCAUUCCUACUGGGUAUGAUCACAACCUUCCUACUGCAUAGAAAAGCCUGAUGAUGUGUUUGUGACUAUCAAGGAUGAGAGAAAGGUCUGAGGUGUUUUUUAGUCAUUGACAAAUUUUUAAUUGCCUUUAUAGAAUAGAUAGAAGGAUGAGAAGUAAUUGUGUAAAAUCUGAAUUAAUCUGUGAAGUGCUGGAGGAAUAAACUGCUGUCCUUUCCAUCAGCACUUCCACAGUGGUGAGAAACAAAUUUUUCCAGGAAUAAAAUUUCUGUUCAUCUGUU